RNAcentral lists this small nuclear RNA (20 nucleotides) under Arabidopsis thaliana (thale cress). RNAcentral describes it as "snRNA_03079". The record is from RNAcentral. Lineage: Eukaryota; Viridiplantae; Streptophyta; Magnoliopsida; Brassicales; Brassicaceae.
UGAAGACCAAACCCUUCACU